CCUAGAGGCAUUGCAGGUGUGACUACAGCAGUCACAUGUGUGACAGAGAGGAGUGAGGCUGAAUCUACUCUCAGUGUUCUGAGCUAUGAAUAUCUGAAUGAUUCAUAGCCUAACAUU
This is a small nucleolar RNA of Rattus norvegicus (Norway rat), 117 nucleotides long. Ensembl annotates it as small nucleolar RNA SNORA17. Lineage: Eukaryota; Metazoa; Chordata; Mammalia; Rodentia; Muridae. The record is from Ensembl.